CUACGGGAGGCACCAGUGAGGAAUAUUGCACAAUGGGGGGAACCCUGAUGCAGCAACGCCGCGUGGAGGAUGACGCAUUUCGGUGUGUAAACUCCUUUUAUAUGUCAAGAAAAUGACGGUAGCACAUGAAUAAGCACCGGCUAACUCCGUGCCAGCAGCCGCGGUAAUACGGAGGGUGCAAGCGUUACUCGGAAUCACUGGGCGUAAAGGACGCGUAGGCGGGUUGGAAAGUCAGGUGUGAAAUCCUACAGCGUAACUGUAGAACUGCACUUGAAACUUCUAAUCUAGAGUAUGGGAGGGGGAGAUGGAAUUAGUGGUGUAGGGGUAAAAUCCGUAGAUAUCACUAGGAAUACCUAAAGCGAAGGCGAUCUCCUGGAACAUUACUGACGCUAAGGCGUGAAAGCGUGGGGAGCAAACAGGAUUAGAUACCCCAGUAGUC
This 439-nucleotide ribosomal RNA is filed under the name uncultured bacterium. RNAcentral describes it as "partial 16S ribosomal RNA". It matches the Rfam family "Bacterial small subunit ribosomal RNA", at positions 339 to 795 of the family's 1533-position model. The record is from RNAcentral.